GAAAGUGUGCAGGAAGAUUCUUCAAACUUAGUGGCUGAAAUUUCCGCCAGUAACUGUUGUCAGAAAAGUAGAUUUAGUGGUGAAAAUUUCCGCCAAUAAAUACUUCUAUUAUACAAAAAAAAAAGGUUUUUUUUUGUUUUUAUAAUGAUAUUAAUUAAAUAAAAGAAUUUAAAUUUAAUACAAAAAUAAUUAAAUCAUCCCUCUAUUUCUCGUUUUCACCUUUUUUUUUCUUUCUAUUAUUUAUUUACAUUAGAAUACCACACUAACCCAUUAUUAUAUCAAAACUAAAAAUAUCAAAUAUGAUUAAUGAUUUUGUUUUUUUGUUUAUUAAUUUAAAAUGAUAUUAUUUAAUUAAAAGAAAUUAAAUAUAAGCUUGUCGAGUAUUUCUUCCCGGAGUAAGCUUGUCCAGUCGCCGGAGCUUUUGUUUUUCCUCCUCCGUGUGACCUGUUUGUCUUCCUUGAAACGCCACCUCCACCACCGUCGCCGCGGUUGCUAUGAUAAUCUCGUUUG
This 510-nucleotide long non-coding RNA is filed under the name Trifolium pratense (red clover). RNAcentral describes it as "long non-coding RNA (TPRA_LNC006742)". Lineage: Eukaryota; Viridiplantae; Streptophyta; Magnoliopsida; Fabales; Fabaceae. The record is from RNAcentral.